This 403-nucleotide ribosomal RNA is filed under the name uncultured bacterium. Its description in RNAcentral is "bacterial SSU rRNA". It matches the Rfam family "Bacterial small subunit ribosomal RNA", at positions 356 to 773 of the family's 1533-position model. The record is from RNAcentral.
GGGGAAUAUUGCGCAAUGGGGGAAACCCUGACGCAGCAACGCCGCGUGAGGGAAGAAGGUCUUCGGAUUGUAAACCUUUGUCCUUGGUGACGAAACAAAUGACGGUAGCCAAGGAGGAAGCUCCGGCUAACUACGUGCCAGCAGCCGCGGUAAUACGUAGGGAGCAAGCGUUGUCCGGAUUUACUGGGUGUAAAGGGUGCGUAGGCGGCUCUGCAAGUCAGGCGUGAAAACUAUGGGCUUAACCCAUAGACUGCGUUUGAAACUGUGGGGCUUGAGUGAAGUAGAGGUAGGCGGAAUUCCCGGUGUAGCGGUGAAAUGCGUAGAGAUCGGGAGGAACACCAGUGGCGAAGGCGGCCUACUGGGCUUUAACUGACGCUGAAGCACGAAAGCAUGGGUAGCAAAC